RNAcentral lists this ribosomal RNA (236 nucleotides) under uncultured bacterium. Its description in RNAcentral is "partial 16S ribosomal RNA". It matches the Rfam family "Bacterial small subunit ribosomal RNA", at positions 100 to 334 of the family's 1533-position model. The record is from RNAcentral.
CGGGACGGGUGAGUAACGCGUGGGUAACCUGCCUCAUACAGGGGGAUAACAGCUAGAAAUGGCUGCUAAUACCGCAUAAGACCACAGUACUGCAUGGUACAGUGGUAAAAACUCCGGUGGUAUGAGAUGGACCCGCGUCUGAUUAGGUAGUUGGUGAGGUAACGGCCCACCAAGCCGACGAUCAGUAGCCGACCUGAGAGGGUGACCGGCCACAUUGGGACUGAGACACGGCCCAG